CAUCCUCCAAGGCUAAAUACUCCUGACUGACCGAUAGUGAACCAGUACCGUGAGGGAAAGGCGAAAAGAACCCCGGCGAGGGGAGUGAAAAAGAACCUGAAACCGUGUACGUACAAGCAGUGGGAGCACCCUUUGGGGUGUGACUGCGUACCUUUUGUAUAAUGGGUCAGCGACUUAUAUUCUGUAGCAAGGUUAACCGAAUAGGGGAGCCGGAGGGAAACCGAGUCUUAACCGGGCGUUAAGUUGCAGGGUAUAGACCCGAAACCCGGUGAUCUAGCCAUGGGCAGGUUGAAGGUUGGGUAACACUAACUGGAGGACCGAACCGACUAAUGUUGAAAAAUUAGCGGAUGACCUGUGGCUGGGGGUGAAAGGCCAAUCAAACCGGGAGAUAGCUGGUUCUCCCCGAAAGCUAUUUAGGUAGCGCCUCGUGAAUUCAUCUCCGGGGGUAGAGCACUGUUUCGGCUAGGGGGCCAUCCCGGCUUACCAACCCGAUGCAAACUGCGAAUACCGGAGAAUGUUAUCACGGGAGACACACGGCGGGUGCUAACGUCCGUCGUGAAGAGGGAAACAACCCAGACCGCCAGCUAAGGUCCCAAAGUCAUGGUUAAGUGGGAAACGAUGUGGGAAGGCCCAGACAGCCAGGAUGUUGGCUUAGAAGCAGCCAUCAUUUAAAGAAAGCGUAAUAGCUCACUGGUCGAGUCGGCCUGCGCGGAAGAUGUAACGGGGCUAAACCAUGCACCGAAGCUGCGGCAGCGAACGUAUCACUUAAAGCGAUUCAGCGGGUUACGAUUGACGGAGCGAAGCGACGUCAAAGCGUAUACAAAGUCGAGUCGGUUUAAGGAUACGUUCGUUGGGUAGGGGAGCGUUCUGUAAGCCCGUGAAGGUGGCCUGUGAGGGUUGCUGGAGGUAUCAGAAGUGCGAAUGCUGACAUAAGUAACGAUAAAGCGGGUGAAAAGCCCGCUCGCCGGAAGACCAAGGGUUCCUGUCCAACGUUAAUCGGGGCAGGGUGAGUCGACCCCUAAGGC
Molecule: ribosomal RNA, 1025 nt
Filed under: Salmonella enterica subsp. enterica serovar Paratyphi B var. L(+) tartrate +
Lineage: Bacteria; Pseudomonadati; Pseudomonadota; Gammaproteobacteria; Enterobacterales; Enterobacteriaceae
Description: partial 23S ribosomal RNA
Rfam family: Bacterial large subunit ribosomal RNA
Source: RNAcentral